This 20-nucleotide unclassified non-coding RNA is filed under the name Mus musculus (house mouse). RNAcentral describes it as "oocyte_clustered_small_RNA434". Lineage: Eukaryota; Metazoa; Chordata; Mammalia; Rodentia; Muridae. The record is from RNAcentral.
AAGUCAGGGGCGAAAUCAAC